This 321-nucleotide ribosomal RNA is filed under the name Pelobates cultripes (western spadefoot toad). It matches the Rfam family "Eukaryotic small subunit ribosomal RNA", at positions 138 to 473 of the family's 1831-position model. The record is from RNAcentral. Lineage: Eukaryota; Metazoa; Chordata; Amphibia; Anura; Pelobatidae.
UUGUGGUAGUCCACAAAAUAUUGGGACAUAUAAAAAAGACAACUCUGUUCUGCAGAGUAGCUGUUGACAUUAUAGUUGCGCAGGCACUUUGUUGACUCUAGAGAACCUCGGGCCAAUCGCACAUCCCCAUGAUGGCGACUUUGCAUUCGGAUGUCAUUCAUAUCAACUUUUGAUGCCAGUUUCUGCGCCUACCAUGGUGACCACGGAUAACGGGGAAUCAGGGCUCCAUUCCAUACAGGGACCCUGAGAAACGGCUACCACAUGCAAGGAAGGCAGCAGGCGCGCAAAUAACCCACUCCCGACAUGGGAAGGUAGUGACGA